GGAUUGUGGCUCAGUGCUAGAGCACUUGCCUACCAUGCAUGAGGCACUGGGUUCAAUCCCCAGCACCA
This 68-nucleotide transfer RNA is filed under the name Marmota monax (woodchuck). RNAcentral describes it as "tRNA.Gly". The stretch from base 5 to 65 matches the Rfam family "tRNA", at positions 6 to 65 of the family's 71-position model. Rfam says of the family: Transfer RNA (tRNA) molecules are approximately 80 nucleotides in length. Their secondary structure includes four short double-helical elements and three loops (D, anti-codon, and T loops). The record is from RNAcentral. Lineage: Eukaryota; Metazoa; Chordata; Mammalia; Rodentia; Sciuridae.